This 435-nucleotide ribosomal RNA is filed under the name uncultured bacterium. RNAcentral describes it as "bacterial SSU rRNA". It matches the Rfam family "Bacterial small subunit ribosomal RNA", at positions 43 to 524 of the family's 1533-position model. The record is from RNAcentral.
CAGGCCUAACACAUGCAAGUCGAACGAAGGCUUCGGCCUUAGUGGCGCACGGGUGCGUAACGCGUGGGAAUCUGCCCUUGGGUUCGGAAUAACAGCGGGAAACUGCUGCUAAUACCGGAUGAUGACGUAAGUCCAAAGAUUUAUCGCCCAAGGAUGAGCCCGCGUAGGAUUAGCUAGUUGGUGGGGUAAAGGCCCACCAAGGCGACGAUCCUUAGCUGGUCUGAGAGGACGAUCAGCCACACUGGGACUGAGACACGGCCCAGACUCCUACGGGAGGCAGCAGUGGGGAAUAUUGGACAAUGGGCGAAAGCCUGAUCCAGCAAUGCCGCGUGAGUGAUGAAGGCCUUAGGGUUGUAAAGCUCUUUUGCCCGGGAUGAUAAUGACAGUACCGGGAGAAUAAGCUCCGGCUAACUCCGUGCCAGCAGCCGCGGUAAU